UCUCUUUCAUUCUCUCCGAUAUCGGCAUUACACUCGACAAUAAAGUGUACGUUCAUUACGAGACCAGCCUUCGUAUCUGUAAUACGAAUAAUUUUCAAUCUCCUCUUUGUUCUUCGACAUUCCAGAAGAAUCUAUCCGUGUUACUAGAUAUAAUUAAUUUCUAUCAUUUAUCGUAUCGAUUCAACUUAGGUAUAUAUGACAAAUCUGUGUUGGUUUUAUGUGUGCUUCUUUCCUCCUUUGAAAUAGUAUUAUAGAAACAACUCUAUGUGGAUGUUACGUAUAUCUCUUUUUCUCUCUUUCCUCCUUUCAAAUAGCUUUAUAGAGUAAGUAUAAAAGAACAUUUCUCGUGAAUUUAAAAGAGGAUUCUUCUCUCGACAAAUUGAAUUGAAUGGAAUGACGCGUGUGGUUCGUUGCUUUUAAACGAGAAAACGUUUUCGCGGUCUGCGUCGAGUUAAGUACUUGUAAUCGUCUUGACAAGCAUCUUUAAAAGUCCUAUCUUCGUUUCGGAGUAUCAUGUAAUGGU
Long non-coding RNA from Vespula vulgaris, 523 nucleotides. RefSeq lists it as uncharacterized. The transcript has 3 exons. NCBI's taxonomy places the organism in Eukaryota, Metazoa, Arthropoda, Insecta, Hymenoptera, Vespidae. The record is from RefSeq and is a predicted model, not a curated record.